AUGCCUUUAGAUUGGGGACAACAGUUGGAAACGACUGCUAAUACCGAAUGUGCCUUAGGGUGAAAGAUUUAUUGUCUAGAGAUUGGCUCGCGUCAGAUUAGCUAGUUGGAGUGGUAACGGCACACCAAGGCGACGAUCUGUACUUGGUCUGAGAGGAUGACCAGGCACACUGGAACUGAGACACGGUCCAGACUCCUACGGGAGGCAGCAGUGGGGAAUUUUCCGCAAUGGGCGAAAGCCUGACGGAGCAAUACCGCGUGAGGGAGGACGGCUUUUGGGUUGUAAACCUCUUUUAUCAGGGAAGAAUCGAUGACGGUACCUGAUGAAUCAGCAUCGGCUAACUCCGUGCCAGCAGCCGCGGUAAUACGGAGGAUGCAAGCGUUAUCCGGAAUUAUUGGGCGUAAAGCGUCCGUAGGUGGUUUAUCAAGUCUGCUGUCAAAGCGUGCGGCUUAACCGCAUAAGGGCAGUGGAAACUGAUGAACUAGAGUGCGAUAGGGGUAACAGGAAUUCCCAGUGUAGCGGUGAAAUGCGUAGAUAUUGGGAAGAACACCAGCGGCGAAAGCGUGUUACUGGGUCUGCACUGACACUGAGGGACGAAAGCUAGGGGAGCGAAUGGGAUUAGAUACCCCAGUAGUCA
RNAcentral lists this ribosomal RNA (637 nucleotides) under Leptolyngbya sp. AW1. RNAcentral describes it as "bacterial SSU rRNA". It matches the Rfam family "Bacterial small subunit ribosomal RNA", at positions 126 to 796 of the family's 1533-position model. The record is from RNAcentral. Lineage: Bacteria; Bacillati; Cyanobacteriota; Cyanophyceae; Leptolyngbyales; Leptolyngbyaceae.